RNAcentral lists this ribosomal RNA (429 nucleotides) under uncultured archaeon. Its description in RNAcentral is "bacterial SSU rRNA". It matches the Rfam family "Archaeal small subunit ribosomal RNA", at positions 474 to 903 of the family's 1478-position model. The record is from RNAcentral.
UACCAGCUCUCCGAGUGGUAGGGAUGAUUAUUGGGCUUAAAGCGUCCGUAGCCGGCUUAGCAAGUUUCCUGUUAAAUUCAGCGACCUAAUCGUUGAGCCGCGGGAAAUACUACUAGGCUAGGAGGCGGGAGAGGUCGACGGUACUUCUGGGGUAGGGGUGAAAUCCUAUAAUCCCGGGAGGACCACCAGUGGCGAAGGCUGUCGACUAGAACGCGCUCGACGGUGAGGGACGAAAGCUGGGGGAGCGAACCGGAUUAGAUACCCGGGUAGUCCCAGCUGUAAACGAUGCGGGCUAGGUGUUGGGGUGGCUACGUGCCACUUCAAUGCCGCAGGGAAGCCAUUAAGCCCGCCGCCUGGGGAGUACGGCCGCAAGGCUGAAACUUAAAGGAAUUGGCGGGGGAGCACCACAAGGCGUGAAGCUUGCGGUUC